UGGGAGAUCGUCUAAUGGUAGGACGUCAGACUCUGACUCUGACUAUCUAGGUUCGAAUCCUAGUCUCCCAGCCA
RNAcentral lists this transfer RNA (74 nucleotides) under Deltaproteobacteria bacterium CG11_big_fil_rev_8_21_14_0_20_47_16. RNAcentral's name for it is "tRNA-Gln". It matches the Rfam family "tRNA". From Rfam's summary of the family: Transfer RNA (tRNA) molecules are approximately 80 nucleotides in length. Their secondary structure includes four short double-helical elements and three loops (D, anti-codon, and T loops). Further hydrogen bonds mediate the characteristic L-shaped molecular structure. tRNAs have two regions of fundamental functional importance: the anti-codon, which is responsible for specific mRNA codon recognition, and the 3' end, to which the tRNAs corresponding amino acid is attached (by aminoacyl-tRNA synthetases). tRNAs cope with the degeneracy of the genetic code in two manners: having more than one tRNA (with a specific anti-codon) for a particular amino acid; and 'wobble' base-pairing, i.e. permitting non-standard base-pairing at the 3rd anti-codon position. Lineage: Bacteria; Deltaproteobacteria. The record is from RNAcentral.